Molecule: long non-coding RNA, 817 nt
Filed under: Mus spicilegus (steppe mouse)
Lineage: Eukaryota; Metazoa; Chordata; Mammalia; Rodentia; Muridae
Description: lncRNA (ENSMSIG00000001418.1)
Source: RNAcentral
CUCGUGCAAAUUGGCCAAACUUGAAUCUUUCUCUACCCACUGGCGACUGUGGCCAACCGUGUCCACCUGCUUCAUCUGCAAUUCCUUGCAUCCAAGAGGCAGAGACAGGAAGAUUAAAAGUUUCAAGCUAUCUUCGGCCAUAUGAGACCCCGUCUCAUAGAAAAAUCUGAAAAGUAAACCAAGCAAGCAAGCAAACAAACAAACAAACAAACUAACUAACUAACUAACAAAACCCCAAACUAAGCAAAUUGAAGUCCCAGUCUUCAGUAGACAGAAUCAGGAGGAUUGCCGUAAGUUUGAGGUCACUCGAGGACAGAGUGAGAAGAACAAAACAAAACCCACAGGAAGGACAAAAUAGGUAUUGCUCUCCUGACUCAUUAACAAGUUAAAUUAACAAGAUAAAUUGUAUUUCCAGUUUCCGUGACAGCGAGGGACUGUUUCCUCUCGGUCUUCAAAAGUAGCUUCUUCCUGCUCUGCUCUCUCUCCCCGCCCGCGCCCCCAACUAGAUCAUAAAAGGACCAGGAGCCCUCCCCAACGUCCACCUACGCCCAAGGCUUCCCACCAAGUGGUUCGGGAAUCAGCGUCGGGAAAACAGCUUAUUGGAGUUGGUGAAUGAAUUAGGUCAUGAAUGCUAACCAACAACCCCUCAAAAAAUGGUCUUUCCAAUCACACCUUUGCCUCAUGCUCCAAUUCCUGAACAGGAGAAAGAAAGAGUGCUGAAAUCUUGUUAAGACUGAAGUAGCUGCAUAGGAGAACAUUCUGUAUAAUUCUACAUGCUAAAAAUAUUUAAAACAUGACCAUCCUCAGCUUUUGUAAG